Molecule: long non-coding RNA, 1039 nt
Filed under: Gossypium raimondii (Peruvian cotton)
Lineage: Eukaryota; Viridiplantae; Streptophyta; Magnoliopsida; Malvales; Malvaceae
Description: long non-coding RNA (GRAI_LNC000390)
Source: RNAcentral
CAUUGAAGGGACUUAAGAGGGAAAACAGACAUCCAUACAACAGGAGAACGAAGGGCAUAUGGGGGACGGGAUAAAGCUAUUCUCCUUCUUUUCCGAGGGGUUAGAGAAGGAUAAAUGCUUACUAGACAUUCGCAGAAGACAAUCCCUAUCUCUUUUUUUCGAAUCUCUUGCAAACAAGCCCAACUUAAUCCCCAUUUUCUAGGGGGCUCUCCAAUUGACUGCUCUGGGGGUAUGAUCUUCGUGAAUAAAGAAGGCAAUAUCCAAUUUAUUGAGAAGGAGACUUCCUAAGAAUAGACACAUCAAUCCUUAUUUUCGGUAGUGUGUAGGUCCAAGUAAAUAAAAAAGUGACCCCGGAAAAAUAAGACUGGAGGGGCUCCCGGUCGAUAUGUAGGUCUCCAAGACUGGAACCGAAGUAAUGGAAGUUUGUGGAGUAGGGCGGGAAACUUUUCAGGGACUUCUUGAUAGAUGGAUAGAAGAGUGUGUCGAAGCAUGAAUUGACCUAGCGACGUGAACCUUGGGUGAGGUGCACUAGUGAGCGACCUCCUUCCCCAAUAAUGCCGCUAUCAUGCGCGAAGCGAAGCUUGAUAGGAGCCCGAGCUAAGAGAAUAGAGCAAACUCGACGUCACAAAACCAGGAAUAGAUCGUUCAAGGGAGCAACUCGAGAUAGAUGCAAGAUUCUUUCUCCUUUUCCGAGGAAGCAUGGUCAAGCGCGCAAGAAAAAAACUAAAGUAGGUUGGUUGAAGGCCUACUACCUACUUUUUUCAGUAUUUUUAAUCUCUCUUCGUGGGCGCUUAGGUUAGCUGUACUCUCGUGUAGCACUUAACGCUUGGUGGAAGGGCGCCUUAAAUAGAUCGAUGCUUGUUCGCUUCCUUAAUGAAGGCAAUUCCCUUCAAAACUCUUUAUUUCCGGACCUUGCCAUUAGUUAGCUGCAAGGAUUGUCGUAUGCUCAUCCCUUACUGAAAGUGGGAGAUCAGCGGCAUUGGUAAGCAUUCCGGUCUUAAGCCAAUCAGUCCGAGUAGGCAGAAAGCAUAGGGGCAUC